RNAcentral lists this unclassified non-coding RNA (138 nucleotides) under soil metagenome. RNAcentral describes it as "partial internal transcribed spacer 1". The record is from RNAcentral.
CCUAGAGUUGUAGGCUUUGCCUGCUAUCUCUUACCCAUGUCUUUUGAGUACUUACGUUUCCUCGGCGGGUCCGCCCGCCGAUUGGACAAUUUAAACCAUUUGCAGAUGCAAUCAGCGUCUGAAAAACUUUAAUAGUUA